GUAUGGACAAUAAAAGAGGUCGAGAGUAUGGACAAUAAAAGAGGUCGAGAGUAUGGACAAUAAAAGAGGUAGUGAGUAUGGACAAUAAAAGAGGUAGAGAGUAUGGACAAUAAAAGAGGUAGUGAGUAUGGACAAUAAAAGAGGUCGAGAGUAUGGACAAUAAAAGAGGUCGAGAGUAUGGACAAUAAAAGAGGUCGAGAGUAUGGACAAUAAAAGAGGUAGAGAGGCAUCUGGUGAAGGAACAGUAUAGAUAUAAGAAUGAGAAAGAGAGGGGCAUCGAAAACACAAGGUUUGGUGAUUGAUGAGGAGAUGAGCCAAAGAGCGUGGAAGAAAAUGGAAAAUAAGAAGAAAGGAUGGAGGAGAGGCAGAGAGAAAGCUGGAGAAGAAAAUGAAAGGAAAGGAAAUGAGAGGGAGAGCCCAAUAGAGAUAUUAAAGAAAGAAAGAAAACGUCGUUCCAGUUGAGAGGAGCGUUUUGCACUCUGGUCUUUCUUUCUUGUUCGGGUGGAGAGACCAAAUCCAAUGGUGAAUUGUGAAGGGUGGAGACACACACAGGGCAUUGUGGGGGUCACAACCUUGACUAUCGAUCCGAGCCUCCAUAAUUUCCCGGGCUUGCUGAGAUUCC
Long non-coding RNA from Ictalurus punctatus (channel catfish), 622 nucleotides. NCBI's taxonomy places the organism in Eukaryota, Metazoa, Chordata, Actinopteri, Siluriformes, Ictaluridae. The record is from Ensembl.